RNAcentral lists this ribosomal RNA (377 nucleotides) under uncultured bacterium. RNAcentral describes it as "bacterial SSU rRNA". It matches the Rfam family "Bacterial small subunit ribosomal RNA", at positions 523 to 898 of the family's 1533-position model. The record is from RNAcentral.
AUACGCAGGUGGCGAGCGUUGUCCGGAAUUACUGGGUGUAAAGGGCGUGUAGGCGGGGAUGCAAGUCAGAUGUGAAAUACUAAGGCUUAACCUUGGGGCUGCAUCUGAAACUGUGUUUCUUGAGUGUCGGAGAGGAAAGCGGAAUUCCCAGUGUAGCGGUGAAAUGCGUAGAGAUUGGGAGGAACACCAGUGGCGAAGGCGGCUUUCUGGACGACAACUGACGCUGAGGCGCGAAAGCGUGGGGAGCAAACAGGAUUAGAUACUCUGGUAGUCCACGCCGUAAACGAUGGAUACUAGGUGUAGGAGGUAUCGACCCCUUCUGUGCCGGAGCUAACGCAAUAAGUGUUCCGCCUGGGGAGUACGGCCGCAAGGUUGAA